UUGAAGAGUUUGAUCAUGGCUCAGAUUGAACGCUGGCGGCAGGCCUAACACAUGCAAGUCGAGCGGUAGCACAGAGAGCUUGCUCUCGGGUGACGAGCGGCGGACGGGUGAGUAAUGUCUGGGAAACUGCCUGAUGGAGGGGGAUAACUACUGGAAACGGUAGCUAAUACCGCAUAACGUCGCAAGACCAAAGAGGGGGACCUUCGGGCCUCUUGCCAUCAGAUGUGCCCAGAUGGGAUUAGCUAGUAGGUGGGGUAAUGGCUCACCUAGGCGACGAUCCCUAGCUGGUCUGAGAGGAUGACCAGCCACACUGGAACUGAGACACGGUCCAGACUCCUACGGGAGGCAGCAGUGGGGAAUAUUGCACAAUGGGCGCAAGCCUGAUGCAGCCAUGCCGCGUGUAUGAAGAAGGCCUUCGGGUUGUAAAGUACUUUCAGCGAGGAGGAAGGCGUUAAGGUUAAUAACCUUAGCGAUUGACGUUACUCGCAGAAGAAGCACCGGCUAACUCCGUGCCAGCAGCCGCGGUAAUACGGAGGGUGCAAGCGUUAAUCGGAAUUACUGGGCGUAAAGCGCACGCAGGCGGUCUGUCAAGUCGGAUGUGAAAUCCCCGGGCUCAACCUGGGAACUGCAUUCGAAACUGGCAGGCUAGAGUCUUGUAGAGGGGGGUAGAAUUCCAGGUGUAGCGGUGAAAUGCGUAGAGAUCUGGAGGAAUACCGGUGGCGAAGGCGGCCCCCUGGACAAAGACUGACGCUCAGGUGCGAAAGCGUGGGGAGCAAACAGGAUUAGAUACCCUGGUAGUCCACGCCGUAAACGAUGUCGACUUGGAGGUUGUUCCCUUGAGGAGUGGCUUCCGGAGCUAACGCGUUAAGUCGACCGCCUGGGGAGUACGGCCGCAAGGUUAAAACUCAAAUGAAUUGACGGGGGCCCGCACAAGCGGUGGAGCAUGUGGUUUAAUUCGAUGCAACGCGAAGAACCUUACCUACUCUUGACAUCCACGGAAUUUAGCAGAGAUGCUUUAGUGCCUUCGGGAACCGUGAGACAGGUGCUGCAUGGCUGUCGUCAGCUCGUGUUGUGAAAUGUUGGGUUAAGUCCCGCAACGAGCGCAACCCUUAUCCUUUGUUGCCAGCGGUUCGGCCGGGAACUCAAAGGAGACUGCCAGUGAUAAACUGGAGGAAGGUGGGGAUGACGUCAAGUCAUCAUGGCCCUUACGAGUAGGGCUACACACGUGCUACAAUGGCGUAUACAAAGAGAAGCGACCUCGCGAGAGCAAGCGGACCUCAUAAAGUACGUCGUAGUCCGGAUUGGAGUCUGCAACUCGACUCCAUGAAGUCGGAAUCGCUAGUAAUCGUAGAUCAGAAUGCUACGGUGAAUACGUUCCCGGGCCUUGUACACACCGCCCGUCACACCAUGGGAGUGGGUUGCAAAAGAAGUAGGUAGCUUAACCUUCGGGAGGGCGCUUACCACUUUGUGAUUCAUGACUGGGGUGAAGUCGUAACAAGGUAACCGUAGGGGAACCUGCGGUUGGAUCACCUCCUU
This is a ribosomal RNA of 1536 nucleotides. It matches the Rfam family "Bacterial small subunit ribosomal RNA".